RNAcentral lists this long non-coding RNA (448 nucleotides) under Carica papaya (papaya). RNAcentral's name for it is "long non-coding RNA (CPAP_LNC005538)". Lineage: Eukaryota; Viridiplantae; Streptophyta; Magnoliopsida; Brassicales; Caricaceae. The record is from RNAcentral.
GUAUCUUAACCCAGGCCACCAGUGUAAGCCAAGUUAACACCAGCCCGAUGCGCAUUAUAAGUGUUGAUUUUGAUCUAGUCGGAAGGGGAAGGGGACAUACCAGCUAGUAAGUUUCUCCUUCUUUCUGCAAGAACGAUCGUUGAUCAUAGCAAUAACGAGAAUGGCCUAGAAAAUUUAAUCCACCAUGCAGAAAACAACAUGUUUCAUCUCAUCAACACUCCAAGGCUCACCCCCAAAAACGAAAUGGUUCCUAUAAUUUCAAAGAUACCAGCAAGUGAUCUUGAAAAUAAUCCUCUAAUAUCUGAAGUCACCAACGCUAUCUAUUCUGUAGAUUAUUGGUUAACCAGUCAUCCAGAUUGGAAUGAAAGAAGGUAGUAGACUCAUUAGGAUGUAUGAUCUUCAUCUAAAGUUGUCUCGCCUGAUGGCAAUCUCUAAGCACAAGGUUGAU